UGGGGAAUAUUGGACAAUGGGCGCAAGCCUGAUCCAGCCAUGCCGCGUGAGUGAUGAAGGCCCUAGGGUUGUAAAGCUCUUUCACCGGUGAAGAUAAUGACGGUAACCGGAGAAGAAGCCCCGGCUAACUUCGUGCCAGCAGCCGCGGUAAUACGAAGGGGGCUAGCGUUGUUCGGAUUUACUGGGCGUAAAGCGCACGUAGGCGGACUUUUAAGUCAGGGGUGAAAUCCCGGGGCUCAACCCCGGAACUGCCUUUGAUACUGGAAGUCUUGAGUAUGGUAGAGGUGAGUGGAAUUCCGAGUGUAGAGCUGAAAUUCGUAGAGAUUCGGAGGAACACCAGUGGCGAAGGCGGCUCACUGGACCAUUACUGACGCUGAGGUGCGAAAGCGUGGGGAGCAAACAGG
RNAcentral lists this ribosomal RNA (404 nucleotides) under Actinomycetes bacterium. RNAcentral's name for it is "Actinobacteria bacterium partial 16S ribosomal RNA". It matches the Rfam family "Bacterial small subunit ribosomal RNA", at positions 355 to 776 of the family's 1533-position model. The record is from RNAcentral. Lineage: Bacteria; Bacillati; Actinomycetota; Actinomycetes.